This 353-nucleotide ribosomal RNA is filed under the name Clostridioides difficile. RNAcentral's name for it is "partial 23S ribosomal RNA". It matches the Rfam family "Bacterial large subunit ribosomal RNA", at positions 2570 to 2925 of the family's 2925-position model. The record is from RNAcentral. Lineage: Bacteria; Bacillati; Bacillota; Clostridia; Peptostreptococcales; Peptostreptococcaceae.
GGUUGGGCUGUUCGCCCAUUAAAGUGGUACGCGAGCUGGGUUCAGAACGUCGUGAGACAGUUCGGUCCCUAUCCGUCGCAGGCGUAGGAAAUUUGAGAAGACCUGUCCUUAGUACGAGAGGACCGGGAUGGACGUACCUCUGGUGUACCAGUUGUCCUGCCAAGGGCAUGGCUGGGUAGCUAUGUACGGAAUGGAUAAGCGCUGAAAGCAUCUAAGCGCGAAGCCAACUUCAAGAUAAGAUUUCCCACCGCAAGGGUAAGACCCCAGAAAGACUAUCUGGUUGAUAGGUCGAAGGUGUAAGUGCAGCAAUGUAUUUAGCUUAUCGAUACUAAUAGGUCGAGGACUUGACCAAU